Molecule: ribosomal RNA, 203 nt
Filed under: uncultured Actinomycetales bacterium
Lineage: Bacteria; Bacillati; Actinomycetota; Actinomycetes; Actinomycetales
Description: partial 16S ribosomal RNA
Rfam family: Bacterial small subunit ribosomal RNA
Source: RNAcentral
GACCUGCACUUCGGGAUAAGCUUGGGAAACUGGGUCUAAUACCGGAUAGGAGCCAUCUUUAGUGUGGUGGUUGGAAAGUUUUUUCGGUGUAGGAUGAGCUCGCGGCCUAUCAGCUUGUUGGUGGGGUAAUGGCCUACCAAGGCGGCGACGGGUAGCCGGCCUGAGAGGGUGUACGGCCACAUUGGGACUGAGAUACGGCCCAG